AAUAGAGUCUUAAGAUAAAAUUUUCACAAAAAAAUGGCAAAACACAUUUCCCAGUACUUUCUCUUGGGAAUUUUAUUCAUUGCAUUGGUUCUAACUUCAGGAUCAACACCAGGUUUGUUUUUCUGCAGUUCUCCUUCGUUUUGUGAUAGCCCUCCUAAUUGCGACGCAAGGUGUCGCACAGCGGGGUAUCAAAGUGGAGUAUGUACUGACAUUCCGGGAAAUUCUUGUUGCUGUGUGUAAUGAAAUAAAUUACAUUAUUAUAAAUAUUUAUAUCUAUAUAUGUUUAACUAUAGAUGGCAUGAACUAAAUAAGAAACAUUUUCCUCCAAAGCUUUUAUUUAUAUAUGUUUGAAGUAUAUAUAUCAAGUAUGUAUACAUUGUGAUUCUUGGCAGAAGAAUAAAUGGAGAACUUGAAAGUAUGUGGCCAAGCUCAAUAUGAAAUAAAGAAAGAGGAUAGACUCGUGCAACUUAAACACAGAAUAAUGUGUUGGACCAAUAAUGUGUUUUCGUCUUGUAUCAAUGAGCAUUUUCCUUUUAAUAAUAUAUCAUGAAAUAAUAUAUCUGUAUGUGUAUGUGUAAAUCAGUUGAUAACCAAUGAAGAGUUAUUAUUUUGCAACAUCA
Molecule: long non-coding RNA, 620 nt
Organism: Medicago truncatula (barrel medic)
Lineage: Eukaryota; Viridiplantae; Streptophyta; Magnoliopsida; Fabales; Fabaceae
Exons: 2
Source: RefSeq, a predicted model, not a curated record